This is a long non-coding RNA of Ictalurus furcatus (blue catfish), 1578 nucleotides long. RefSeq lists it as uncharacterized. The transcript has 4 exons. The record is from RefSeq and is a predicted model, not a curated record. Lineage: Eukaryota; Metazoa; Chordata; Actinopteri; Siluriformes; Ictaluridae.
UUGAAUCCUGGUGAUGAGUACAAAGAAUGUUGUCACUGUUACCAUGGAAAUGAGAGAGACAGAUAUGGAAAAAUUAAUGUUAGUUUAUGUAAGCUCUUUAAGCUCACUGACAAAUCAUGUUUAUUUAAGCCACUUAGACCUUCCACAUAGUAAUCCCCAAAUAUGAACCUGUUUAUGUUUCUCAUAAAUGUCAAAUAUAAACAAAUAUAACCGAUUCUACCUAACUUUUAUACAUUAUACAGAACAUUUUCUACUCUCUCUCUCUCUCUCUCUCUUUGAAUGAGUGUGUUUGUUUGUAUGUCUCAAGUAUUUCGUUUAUUAUUUAAUAGUCAAACUGUUGAAAAGCUGAAAGCUACCCGUGUUACCUCUGUGUGUGCAUUUCACACAUUCGCUACAUUUAAAUCGAACUAGAGUGCACACACAAAAAGUUGAACUAUGAGUUAAAUCGUAUUUGGUAAGAAAAGUAAUCUGAUGGAAUUACUGAAUACAGAGAGUAGCCUUGGUAGACUUUUCAGCUUUUCCGCAAUACAGUGUACACUCAUUCUCCUGGCUCUCUUUCAGAGCACAGUUUCCAAGCAACUGGGCACAAAAAGCAUGAUUGGAGAGAUGCCACAGGCAGCAGGAGCUGAUUAUCAGCGGCUCUUAUCUCAUAUUGAACUGAUACCCAAUUUCUAAGCAAUCUCUGCUCAGAAACUACACAGAGUGAGGACAAAUGGGAACAUUUAACACCAUGAAGUGGAGAAAGCAUGCACUCCAAAAGGGGCGGUAAAUUCGCUUUAAUCUGUGAUAUGGUGACUUGGCAGGUGGUCUUCUCUAGAAAGGACUAAAGUCAGAGUAGAGAGGGAAAACAAACAGGGCUAUCCCUGGAGGCAGAAGGUCAGGCAUGAGGACUUCUGUGAAGGUGCCAAACUUUUUAUCUGCCAAUCAAUCAUUCGUUUCGGAGAAGAGAUUGUGGUGGAUCUGGAGCUCAUCCCAGGAACACUGAGCUUGAGGCAGUCACUGAGCAUAAGGCCUACGUGUCUUUCUUGCAGGAAGACUGUCCCGAUAACAGCAGCAUAUUUGGUUUUGGUCUGCUGAAUAAUGCAAUGCUGAAAACAUUAUAAGGACAUUCUGACUGAGCUCUUAAUGGGUCAUCAUGCUCCUGAAGUUGGUAUGAGAGCACUUAAACCUGCUUGUUGAGAGCUGCUGGAUCGGGAGCCUCAAUCCCAUCAACGAGGCACAUAGCUUCCAUUAUCAGCCCAAGGUUAUGGCAGAAACAUUACAGAAGCCCGCAUUAAAAAGUUUUUCAUGUUUUGAGGUAAAGCAGGAGAAAAAAAAAUCACUCAGCUACCCAAUUGGCCACUUAUCAUGUUGUACUAGAUCUUUGUCUUUUUUUACUCUGUUUGAAGUACUUCCAUACUCAGAAAUUUUCAAAUAGUUAACUCCUGUUAGAGUCUAUUUUGCAAAAUAGGCUAUGCAAAGCAAAACCUACACUUGUAACUGCAAACUUUGCAGAACAUUUGUAGUUAACUAGCCAGCUAGCUAUUUAGCUAAGGUUACUGAUGAAUAAAUCUCUUACAUUGUAUUGUAUUGUACUGA